RNAcentral lists this ribosomal RNA (294 nucleotides) under uncultured bacterium. RNAcentral's name for it is "partial 16S ribosomal RNA". It matches the Rfam family "Bacterial small subunit ribosomal RNA", at positions 775 to 1067 of the family's 1533-position model. The record is from RNAcentral.
GGAUUAGAUACCCUGGUAGUCCACGCCCUAAACGAUGUCAACUAGCCGUUGGAGGAAUUCAAUCCUUUAGUGGCGCAGCUAACGCGUUAAGUUGACCGCCUGGGGAGUACGGCCGCAAGGUUAAAACUCAAAGGAAUUGACGGGGGCCCGCACAAGCGGUGGAGCAUGUGGUUUAAUUCGAUGCAACGCGAAGAACCUUACCAGGCCUUGACAUCCUCGGAACUUUCUAGAGAUAGAUUGGUGCCUUCGGGAACCGAGUGACAGGUGCUGCAUGGCUGUCGUCAGCUCGUGUUG